CCUAGGAACCGGUUUACAAGCCAUUCUUGUAGUUGCCUGGAGAAUACGAGGGACUCAGGCCAAGGCCAGCCCUGCAGGUCUGAAUGGGACUGGGACUUGCUCCCCAGCUCCUUUCAAAGACUUGGGAAGAAAGCCAGGAACUCUUUAACUAAAUGCAAACGGGUGUGAUUUCCCCCUAGUUCCCAAUGCUUGAGACCUAAGGGCAUUAUGCAAAUAACGAUCAGCCGAGAAGCAGAGAAAGAAGAUUUACUAAGGAAUGCUUUUAAGACUUCACCCAAUCUCCAUCAGAGAGGAAGAGUCUGUCGCCCACAGAUCAGGAUACAAAGCCUAAAGGCAAAGUGUCUGUUUAACAUUCUGAAGGAGCACCCAGCCCACUUGGGUCCACAGGCAAUGUUUUUGGGACAUGUACGGAAAUAGCUGGUAGCCUUCUGUCACAGUGGGAAAAAAUUCUGUGAACACGAUGUUCUCGAAGUCUUACUGAACAGUCUUUGAAAAGAAGGACAUUCCAUGCGGGUCCUUCCGCUUCUCUCCGGUGAACACAGGAUGACCUCAGUCCGUCGCUCUGGAUUAAAUUCAUAUAUCCUAGUUCUGUCCACUAAAACACCUAGCUAUCAAGACAACCAAAGAAUGAGCACAGCAGUGCCUAAAUUGUUCAUCUCUAAAUACCAUCUCCAUGCCUCGGGCUCACUGAAGGACCGACAUGCCGGUUCAAGGUCUUGGUCCUGAAAUGUACAUGAUGCACCUGCGUCAUCCUGUUGAGACCCAGAAAAGCCUCGAAGACUCAGGGGGACUGCUGGUGGGGUUUCUUUUUGGAGUGACGAAAUGUUCUGUCAUCAGAUUGGAAAACAUGCUGAAGGAGUUGAGACGAAAAUAUGUCCCUGGACUUCAGCAACCUUUAUCAAAAUGACGGCAAGCUCUCCGAGCUGGAGAAGGUUCAAACAGGCAUGCACAUGGACUGCAGGCCUAACUACUGACAGGCUGAUGUGUCAAGAUCCUGGAGACUAUGAGAGCACCAUGAUUUUACUGCGCUCAGAAUUUGCUUUGUUCCUGAGCGCCUGGGUGGCUCAGUCAGUUGAAUGGCCCACUCUUGAUUUUGGCUCAGGUCA
Mustela erminea (ermine) is the source of this 1106-nucleotide long non-coding RNA. RefSeq lists it as uncharacterized. The record is from RefSeq and is a predicted model, not a curated record. The transcript has 3 exons. NCBI's taxonomy places the organism in Eukaryota, Metazoa, Chordata, Mammalia, Carnivora, Mustelidae.